This 253-nucleotide ribosomal RNA is filed under the name uncultured bacterium. RNAcentral describes it as "partial 16S ribosomal RNA". It matches the Rfam family "Bacterial small subunit ribosomal RNA", at positions 524 to 776 of the family's 1533-position model. The record is from RNAcentral.
UACAGAGGUGGCAAGCGUUGUUCGGAAUUACUGGGCGUAAAGGGCGCGUAGGCGGCUUGGUCAGUCCCGUGUGAAAUCCCUCGGCUCAACUGAGGAACUGCACGGGAAACUGCCUGGCUUGAGUUCGGGAGAGGGAAGCGGAAUUCCGGGUGUAGCGGUGAAAUGCGUAGAUAUCCGGAGGAACACCGGUGGCGAAGGCGGCAUCCUGGACCGAUACUGACGCUGAGGAGCGAAAGCCAGGGGAGCAAACGGG